CAGCUCCUGGGAUGUUUGCCAGUUGGUCGCGUCCUUGAGCCGUUAGAGAUAACCCAGGAGACUCUGGGGACAGCGUCGGUGUGCAGGCCCAAUCUGAUGGGUAGCCUUAGACGUUGCACAGACCUCCGCCUUGAACCAUAACGGUUCAGGGCAAACCAUCAGCGGCAUUUCCGGGAGCUAU
Molecule: non-coding RNA, 181 nt
Filed under: Pseudomonadales bacterium
Lineage: Bacteria; Pseudomonadati; Pseudomonadota; Gammaproteobacteria; Pseudomonadales
Description: 6S RNA
Rfam family: 6S / SsrS RNA
About the family: E. coli 6S RNA was the first non coding RNA to be sequenced, but its function was unknown until recently. It consists of 184 nucleotides that fold into an extended hairpin structure with a large single-stranded internal bulge.
Source: RNAcentral